Molecule: ribosomal RNA, 995 nt
Filed under: uncultured bacterium
Lineage: Bacteria
Description: bacterial SSU rRNA
Rfam family: Bacterial small subunit ribosomal RNA
Source: RNAcentral
GGGGAAUAUUGCACAAUGGGGGAAACCCUGAUGCAGCGACGCCGCGUGGAGGAAGAAGGUCUUCGGAUUGUAAACUCCUGUUGUUGGGGAAGAUAAUGACGGUACCCAACAAGGAAGUGACGGCUAACUACGUGCCAGCAGCCGCGGUAAAACGUAGGUCACAAGCGUUGUCCGGAAUUACUGGGUGUAAAGGGAGCGCAGGCGGGAAGACAAGUUGGAAGUGAAAUCUAUGGGCUCAACCCAUAAACUGCUUUCAAAACUGUUUUUCUUGAGUAGUGCAGAGGUAGGCGGAAUUCCCGGUGUAGCGGUGGAAUGCGUAGAUAUCGGGAGGAACACCAGUGGCGAAGGCGGCCUACUGGGCACCAACUGACGCUGAGGCUCGAAAGUGUGGGUAGCAAACAGGAUUAGAUACCCUGGUAGUCCACACCGUAAACGAUGAUUACUAGGUGUUGGAGGAUUGACCCCUUCAGUGCCGCAGUUAACACAAUAAGUAAUCCACCUGGGGAGUACGACCGCAAGGUUGAAACUCAAAGGAAUUGACGGGGGCCCGCACAAGCAGUGGAGUAUGUGGUUUAAUUCGACGCAACGCGAAGAACCUUACCAAGUCUUGACAUCCCUUGACAGACAUAGAAAUAUGUAAUCUCUUCGGAGCAAGGAGACAGGUGGUGCAUGGUUGUCGUCAGCUCGUGUCGUGAGAUGUUGGGUUAAGUCCCGCAACGAGCGCAACCCUUAUGGUCAGUUACUACGCAAGAGGACUCUGGCCAGACUGCCGUUGACAAAACGGAGGAAGGUGGGGAUGACGUCAAAUCAUCAUGCCCUUUAUGACUUGGGCUACACACGUACUACAAUGGCGUUAAACAAAGAGAAGCAAGACCGCGAGGUGGAGCAAAACUCAGAAACAACGUCCCAGUUCGGACUGCAGGCUGCAACUCGCCUGCACGAAGUCGGAAUUGCUAGUAAUCGUAGAUCAGCAUGCUACGGUGAAUACGUUCCCG